AAAGGAGUGUGUGUGUGUGCGCGCGCGUGUGUGCGUGUGAUGUAAAAUUCUGUAGGAGCCAUGUUAAGAAGUAAAAAGAGACAGGUGUAGUUAAUUUUGGCCAUAUAUUUAUUUAAACCAAUGUAUAUAGAUAAUUAUUUCAAUAUGUAAUCAACAUUAUCAAAUUACUGAGAUAUAGAAUUAUCACUUUUUCAUUACUUUUGUAUUGUCUUUGGCAUUGAUUAUGUUUUACACUUUCAACACAUCUUCAUUUGAUGCUAAAUUCUCAUUGGAAAUACAUGCUCUGUAUUGAGAUUUCAUAAGACACGGCUGAAAAAGUAGAUCCAGUUGGAAAAAGAGAUUCACAUAUCAAAGUUGCUGCAAACGUGGUUCAUAGGUUUCUAACAACGGAAUCAAGUAGCUUUUAAAGUCGAUUAGAAGUAAUUAAAAUUAAAUCCAUGGAGCCAAGCAUGGUGGGGUACACUGUACUCACAGCUACUGGGGGCUGAGGCUGGAGGAUCACAAGUUUAAGGCCAGCCUGGGCAACCCAGGGAGACCCUGUCUCUGAAUAAAAUUUCAAAUGGGCCAGGGUUGUGGCUCAGUGGGAAGCACCUGCCCAGCCUGGGCGAGGCCUGGGUUCCGUCCUCAAAACUGAGGACUCAUUCAUCAAAUUUCCCUCCCCUCAGUCAUACCAGCUACAGCUUUGAGUGCUUGGUAGCAGUGUGUUUGUGGCUGCCACACUGGGCAACGAAGCUACAGGACACCAGAGGGAAUCAGCCCAGCCUUUCCCUGUCUUUGAAUACAUCAUCAAAAAACAUGACAGAUGCUAUCCAAUAUAAUACAGAUACCGUGUCUAAAUUUCACUUGGGAGAAAUGUGGUCAUGCUGUAGAGUUUACUUGACAAUCUAAUUGUCUCUGCCUGCAGUUAUAUUUUGGGUGUUUUCCUUCCCAGUUUGUAGGCCUCUCUGAUCUCCAUGAGAGCUGUGUGGCUGAUCUGCUGAAGCUCUCCUGCUAGUGGGGAUGUGCUGGUUAGUUAAUUUCCCGUACAGAAAGUGAGUGCUGUGCCCUGGCACCCUCCCGAGAGGCCGUGCCAACUCUUGCCAUCCCUGUCCUGCAUCUGUGGAUGCUCCUGAGCCAGGGUCAUAAAAUACAAGUUCAAAGCAGCCUCUGGACCCAGGAAAUAGCAGCCGUAGGGGGAUCGGGGCUGGCAGCGUGGCCGUGGCAGGGCUGGGUCUCGAGCAGCCCGUGGUGGUGUCCAGUGGCCACGGAGGAGCUGGCCGAGGCCUCCCAGAAGGUCACCUCCCCAGCUCCGUUGCUGCCAGCCCGCGCUGGCUGGGGAUCGCCAGGCCUUCAAUGGGGCGUCGUGCCACGCCGCGCCCCGGUGAGCCGUGUGUGACAUUUGUAUCCAGCAUUGAAUUCACUCUGCUCCACUCGCUCACCCGCUCGCUCUGAGGCUCACUACAAUCUCACCGCCUCCACCUUCUGCUGAGACCAGGGAGGAGGUGAUUCUGCCGCGGGUGGAAAUGGACAGCGCUGUCAGGCAGGCUGGCAGCAGACAUGGGCUCAGGGCUCAGCUGGAGUCGCAGCACAGGACAGAGGUGUGAGGCCCUUUGGGCCAGUGACCCGGGGCACCUGCAGGCCCAGAGCUGGGCAGCCCUCGCAGGCAGGGCUGGGGCCCAGGGGCCUCAGGGGCUGCACCCUCCUUGUGUUCACUGGGGACAAAGCCCGGGCCGGAGCAGCCUCUUCCUCCGUUUCUAGAGCGCUGUCCCGUCCCGUGACCAUCCUCUCCCACCGGCAGCCCCAGCUCAAUUCCAUCGUGAGCGCUGACAACAAACCUUUCUGCAGAUGCUCCCGCUAUUUAUUGUUUAAAAAUCAAUUCAGAUGCUUGAACGUUGUUUAUUUUCCUGCCUUUUACGACCCCUCUGUCUGCGCAGGGACAGGGGCUGCUUUGUGUGACCAAGACACAGGCGGCCGAGGAGCGAACAAGUCCUUUCCUCCCUCUCGGGAGGAACCAUGUGGCUUGGCACUGGUUUCGGUGUUGCCACAUUGUGGAAGCAAAGCAAAGGGUGGCAGUGGGAAGCGGGAGGCGAGCGGAGCUUAGCUCUGCUGUGUCAGGGCGUCAGCCGGCACACUCAUCACGGUGUCACUGUCCCCAGUGACCCACCUGUGUGGCACACCCGUGUGGGCAGGACCAGGACUCAGUGUCCUCGGGAGGCUGCCCCCCCACCUGGCACAGGGCAUGGGAGCCCAUCGGGGUGCGGAACCUGCCCUGACCCACGGGUGUGAGCGGCACGCAUGUGCAAAUGUUCAAUUCGUGAGUAAGGAAUGCUGGUCGGGUACACACGGGCUAACAAGGUGUCCAUCACAGGGGAGCGCUGCCCUGACUUAACACGGAAAUCUGCUGAAAAUCUUGGUUUCUGGUGGUAGUGGUGCUGGUAAUUUGAACCCAGGGCUACAUUCCCAAUCUAUUUUUAUUUUUUAUUUUGAGACAAAGUCUAAGUCUCUAAGUGGCCCAGGCUGGAUUCAAACUUGUGGUCCUCCUGCCUCAGCCUCCCAGAGUGUGGGUUACAGGCGUGUGCCAUCAGAUCUGGCUCCAUUAUUUUCAGUCUCUGAGGGUCCUGGGCUGGGUCCCCCAAAAGAAUAAGGCAGUAACCCAUGUGACCAAAGAGCACUGUGUGGAUGCUUUAGGUUCCUGGUCCGGGCUGGUGGGCAGCAUCAGGCACUGCAGUCACCCCCUCUCGAGGGGAUCCACGACAGCAUCGCCACGAAGAUUACACACAGGCCUGCGUGCCUUUGUCACGGGGUCACGUCCCGCUGGGGUCGGGGCCGGCAUGGCUAACUGUGGCACCCUCACGUUCAGACACAUGGUCACCCACAGGCCACAGUCAUGAGUGCCGGCUUCCCCCUCACCGCCCUAGAAGACUCCAAGUCUGGAAAGGGCUCCCAGGAAUGGCCCUGCAGCCCAGAUCUCCACGGUAACGGGCAGAAUCUCUCCAGGUCCUUCCUGACCGCAGGGCACUGUGGCCGUGGGCGCCAGGCAAGCACGGCUCUGGUUCUGUGCAGUCUGCAGAAAGCGCCCUUGUGGGGACGGCCAGACGCAGACCGCCGCUCCAGCCAGGCCGCCCUGUGCCGAGGCCGCCGGGCCUGCUGCUGGGCAGGGAGGCGCCAGCAUCAGCCCUGGCCGAGCUCUUUCCCAGCCCUGGAUUAUCAGCCAAACUCUAUCUUUGUUCCAUUUGUCAAAACACCAUUGUUCUCCCUCCCCUGUCAAGUUUCAUUUCUAUUGUUCAAAAAAUCCAAAGUCAGGGCCGCCUGGGUGGCUGGAGGAGGCCUCAUCCGAGGUCGGCAGGCUCGGAGGCCACCUCCUGCCAGCCUCCGGGCUCCGGCUCAGCUCCGCCACGAGAGAGAGCAAUUCUGUCGCAGGACCCAGACAGCCGGGUGUGGGUUCCUAAGCCAGGGCUGCUCUUCUCCCAGCUGCAGUCUUCACAGAAAGCAGCGAGCUCGCUAAGGACAGAACACGUCACUGUUCCCUUUCUUUCUCCUUUCCUUUCCUCCUUCCUCUCUCCUUUGACACGGUCUCACUGUUGCCCAGAUUGGCCUUGAACUAGUGAUGUGCCUGCCUCAGCCUCCUGAAGUGCUGGGAUUACAGGCACAAACCACCAUGCCUACUUAUCACAUUCAUUUUCUAACAGAGCAAUCUGGUGGAUCUGCUUUUUAGAGUCUGUGGCUUCAAGCGUUACGUGCUGUUUGACGUCCUCAGGGAGGUCAGCAAGUUUCAUACGCAGCUAGGACAACUAGCUCCGUGGGACGUCUUUGUUGUUUUGUUUGUCACUGUGCCAGGGAUUGAGCCCAGGGCCUCUCGUGGGCUUUACCAGGGCUCUGCCCCAGGCUAGGCCCAGCCCUCUCCCUGGCACAGAUGCACGAGGGGUGCUUAGCAGCUUUCAGCAGGGUUUUCUCUGAGGGUCAAUAAAAUCAUCUAAGAAAACACAGCCCCAUCCCCUGGGUGUCAUCACAGAGCCAGGCCGUGGCAUAGCCGGGCCUCCCAGACAACCCUGUGCUUUAUUCCUGCCUGCUGAGGGCAGAGCCAGGGUCCCAGCGUCCAGGCACGGCCUGGGUACUCGCACAACUCCACCUCCCGUCCAGUGCCGCUCAGCAGCACUCCAGUCUGGGGAGAGGAGUCGGGGGUCACCCGGGUUCCCUGGAGCAGCAGAUCCCCCGACGCCCCUGCUCGUUGCUGCUGUUCACUGUAAUUAACAAAAACUUCAUCCUGAGGACGGAGCACGGCCUCUGCGCCGAUGUGACCUGGACAGGCAGUGGCAGCUUCAUCCCGCUUGGGCCCAGCUCUCGCUGAGACCUGGCAAGCAGUAGGUGGCCCAAGGACAGGAGGACAUGCUUCGCCUGCAGGGGUGCCUGCCCUUCAGCCCCGACCUGAGCUACUGCCACGUCCUCCCUCCCGGACUCAGAGGCCCCCUCGUCCAGGGCCAGCAGCAUUCCAGGUGGCUGGACGCAGCCCUCCUGCCUCAGCAUGCUGGGUGAGGGCGGGGUGAGGACCACUGCAGGGCGCUGGGGCAGCAGGAGAGAGGGCAGGACACACAGCACUCGGCCAGUGAUGCCACACACCAGAGCAAGCGACCGCUGAGGAGGAGCAGGAGGAGCAGGAGGGGAGGAGCUCUAGUUAGACAAACUCACCGAAGAGCCAGCGGGGCAGCCUGAGAGCGAUUCUAUUCAAUGCUUUAAAAUACUUCACUUGUCGGGUGAGGUGGUGCCCAUCUGUGACCCCAGCACGAGAGGCUGAGGCAGGAGGAUCACUGUGAGUUUAGGUCCAGCCUGGGCUACAUAGUGAGUUCAAGGCCAGCUUGAACUACAUAGAGACCCUGUCUCCAAAAAACACAGGAAAGAAAAAGGUCGUAUGUAACAGUCUCUUUAACAACGCUGGCUAACUUUCUCAGUCAGAUCAUUGCUGUUUCUCACCCAGCACUUGUUCUGUUUUGAUUGUACAAUAUUUUUCUCAGUCCACACCUCAGACUGGGGUCUGGGCUCACCUAGGACUUUUGUCCUGGGACCUUUUAAAGUAAGCUGAGGCAGUGGUUUAGAAAACGAUUCUUGUUUGUGGACAGAGAAACAUUAAACCGAGGGGGGCUACACACUGGGGUAGGCACCCUCCGCCUCGGCCCGUGGGAGCCAGGUGGGAGAAGCCCUGUUUUCCAUGCCUGCCGUCCUGGCGGGCUCUCUGGAGAGGUCCGAGCUGUCUGCAGCUCAGUGACACUUGGGCCCGUGCAGUUGACUCCACCAGCACCAAACAGGCAGCAAAGCUUGGUGCUGAGGGGCUCUGUGUGGCUUCCCAUCACCUUCCUUCGACUGCUAAAUGCAGCUGUGAAGGUUUGGGCAGCGGCUCGAGUCCCUCCCAAGCCAGAAGAACGGCCCCUGCAGGCGUCUCGCUGCUGACCGAGGAGGCGGAACAGCACACGCAGGUCCUGGGGCCCAUCAGGCUGUCCGCAGACUCAGUGAGGCGGCUUUCAGCUCCAGGAGCAGCACAGAGAACGGGGGACGUGGGGUUUUCCAAGGACAGGCCCGACAGCAGCCACAGUCAGUCUGUGAACACCUGAGAACCAGCUCGGCCGCGCAGGUGCUUGGCUGGGACGGAACGAACGACGGAACGACUGGACACUGUCCCAGAAAGACGGCUCCCUCCCCAGGCCUGGCUGGGUUGCUCCGGCCGGGUGUGUGGGUGUGAUCUUGGGGAAACUCGGGCAACUAGCAACAGGAGAGCUGGGGCGAGCUGCUCUCCUGUCCCUCAAAGCUGCCACUGCUGCAGGCUUCCGAUGCAGCCUGGCCAAAGGCGCUUGCACAGAUAGGGGCACCUGGGUGGCUUCAGAGGGUGCCAGGCGCGUUAGGAGCGGGGAGGGUGAGGAGCUGCUUGGAUCCCACUCAAGACGUGAGUUCUGUACCGGCGAUGCCAGCUGUCCUACUCUGACCUUCUGAGGACAGCAUGGUCCUCUGGUAGUCACGAGUGACCCUGCUCUGCCUCGCUCUCCAUGCACAGGUCCCACCUGCAAGGAGCAGGAGCCCCGUCCCUGUUGGAAACCGAUUUCCAAUCACAGAGCCGCACGGGCCCAGGUUGGCAUCAGGCGCCUAGCCCACUGCUGAUGGACGUGAGGAGAUCGGCCUCCGUGAAUGCAAUCGCCUGUAAGGAAAACAGGGCAAACCGGAGUGCACAGCUGUCUGCGCUUAUCCGGCGAGAAGGAUACACUGUUUGUCUGGGCCGGGGCUAAGUUGUCCCAGCUAACUUCAAGGUCCCAAAGCAGUCCCAGAUUCCAGAUCCUGUGGAUUUAUCACACCCCCGGAGGACUGGGCUUUCCAGCCUCUGAAUGGAUUAUCCUGUCCCGUUAGAGAGGCGCAUCCUUUCCAAAAGAUAACAUCUUGCUUCUCCAGCCUGAAUUUCCCUGCCUUCCUUCAAGCCACAAUUUGUGAAAACAAUGUGUGAGAACACAGGACAAUGGGAAGUCCUCCGGCGGGAAUUCUGCAAUAAAUAUGUCAGCUCCAUAAACUAGCCGAUGAUAUUUAUUUGGUUCUUAAGAAGGAAGUAUCGGGAUACGGUAAAUCACGAUCAUUUUUCACCGUCUUGGGUUUCCCGUACGCAUAGAUGCUGGCAGACCUUCUCGAUCGCACUAAUUUAUUUGUAAAUCAUCAAAGGAAGACAUAAAAUAUCCGUCUCCAGGCCAGUGCCUGCGCAGGGAAGGGCAGCCGCAGCGGCGGUAUUUUCCUCGGCUAGAAGUAAACAUGUCACACGGUGACGAGGGCUGUCCCUCUCCUGGCUGAACUCGGGCUGAGACGGUCAGCAUGGAGGGACUGCAGCAGCCCCUUCUCACAGCUCGUUCCCUGGCUCGGGAGAGGACGGCCUGCAGUGUGACACAGAGCCUGGGUCAGAACCAUAUUUCUUACUGGUGAUUCUGGCGCUGCUGUGCAGUGACGGCAGCGCUCUGGAAUUCUCUGGCCCGUGGUGGCUUGCGCUGCUCAGUAGGCACUGCUUUCCAGUUCAAGGUGACAGAAAACCGAGUCCCAGCGAAUGUGCAGGGUUAGAAAAUGGUGUGGGAGGGGGGGCAGAGCCCGUGCACCCCCAGUCCACCGCAGACUGGCGCUCGGGCGGUCCUGGCCACGUGGAAGGCGAUGCUGCCCUGGUCUUCGUGGCUUCAGGACCUGGGGUGUGGCACCCGACAGAGCUCUGCCCUGCUUGCUUGGCCCUGGCCUGCUCCCAUUUUCUAGUCAGCUCGUUUAUCCCCCUCCCUGGGGGGCUGCAGCCUGCGCUGGGCUCACUGCCCCAUCCUGGGGCAGGGGCUAGGUGACCGGGCUCCCCGGGCAGGGUGGGGACCUGGCCCAAGCCCCCUCCCCACCGCACUCAUCCCUCGGGCCCAGGUGGAAGCCAGGUCUGCACCCUGCUGGCCCUGCACGGGGCUUGGCAGUACUUGCCUCUGCCUACCUCCUGGACGCCGGCUCAGCCUGUGUCCAGCGUCUCCGGGAGCAGCUCACCCUGGGGGCCCUGCACUGCUCUCCUAGUCCUGAACAGGUUCUGGAGAACAACACGCUUCGGUUCACGUUCGUAUUUGAUGAUUCAUGAAGAAAAGAUGUUUUUCAAAAUUACCAAUGGGAGCUGGGUAUGGUGGCACAAGCUUGUAAUCCCAGCACUCUGGGAGGCGGAGGCGGGAGGAUGGCAUGUUCAAAGCCAAUGUGGGCAGUUAGUGAUGUGGCGAAACCCCUGGCUCAAAAUGAAAAGUAAAAAGGGCUGGGAUGUCGCUCCAUGUGAAGGCCCUGGGGUGCAGUGCUCAGUGGAGCCCGGAAAACUAUAAAAGGAGACCAAGCUAUUGGCUAUCUCCCUUAGAAAGCGUUUGCAGAACGGUGACUGACUCUGACCACUGGGUUGGGCCAUCUCUGACACUGGAAACUGCAGUUCUCUGAUGACCCAGUGGCAGACAGCCGCUGUGAGGCGCUCCAUUCAAGUUCAGAAAAACCAGGUUUCCUGCUCCUAUCACAGGAGAGCUGUUCAGCUAUCGUCACUUUCCCUUUCUGACUUGGCUGUCAGGACACUCAGAACCAAGUUUCAUACUAAAUGACUCUUUUCACUCUCUGGUUUCUAACGUCAACCCAAUCAUUUCUUCUCACUCGGCCCACCAACUCCAUCUUCUUUCAGCCUUGUUCGAUGACCCCCCCGCCCAAGACUGGAGGAAAAACCCAGGGCUUCAAGUGAGUCCAGCCCUUUUUGUUUGGAGUCACGGUCUAAGUUGCCCAGGCUGGUUGUGAAAUUGUAACCUUCCUGCCUCAGCCUCAGGAGUAGAUGGGAUUACAGGCAUGUGCUGCCAGGCCCUUCUAAGGCGUUCUUAAAUCCUUUUCCUAAAGCGCAACUUGAAGAAAGUGGAAUAUUAUUUACCAACCAUCAAAUCUAGGAUAUAUACUCUGGGAGUCGAAAGAGAGCAACUAAUAAUUAAGUUAGGACAGCAGCUUAAACAGAGAACUUUCUGCACAAAAUUAAAAUGUGGUGGCUCCAGGAACAAAUAAUAAACAUCACAGAUAAUGUGUGUCCAUUCCCAGGUGGGGAUAAUUAAAGAUAAACAUGUGCUUCACCCAGGGAACCAAGGUUAAAUUCUGUGCUUCUUAUUUAUCUUGUGUCACAUGUGUUGAUUAGAGUUUAGUAUUUAUUAUCUCUUGGGAAAUUUUGUAAUUAGCCUCUGUAUCGGUAGGGGAAAAUAUUGGGCUCUCUAAAAUGCACUUAGCUCUCCCAAAGGGGAGGGUCCCUUAGCUCUGCAACAGUGAUCACGAGGGAAGUUUCAUUUGUUUGUGAUUUAUGGGAGUCUGUGCUGUUGACCAGUAUCCAAUUUCUAACGACUCCAUCUUGUUUUUCCUGAGCAACUUCUCAUAAACUUUGUAAUGUUUUGUGCAGCAAGCUAAUACUAUGUUCACACCUGUUUACGGAGCUAUUAAUAAAUGCUACGUGCAACUCCAGUAAGAGGGUCAGACUGCUUUCCCUCUCCAUCGGCUGAAAACAAUUUCUUGUCUAUUUUGAAAAAUAUGGGACCACCAAAGUCCUUGAUUAAACUGGGUAUUCUGCAAAGACACCCACUGAGAAGAAAUGGGAUUAGAAAAUUUAACCUAAAGGACUCACAGUCAAAAGGCAAAAAGUGAGCCGGGGGUGGUAGCUCACAUCAGUAAUCCCUGCACUGUGGGAGGCUGAGCCAGGAGGGUCACAAGUUCAAGGCUAGCCUGGGCAACGUGGAACCUAGGGAGACCCUGUCCCAAAACAAACAAAAAAAAUAAAAAGGGGCUGGCGACACAUACAGCUCAGUGUGAAGGUCCUGGGUUCACUUCCUAGUACCACACACACACACACACACACACACACAGUGUGCUGUUAAUCCCUCGGCUGCAAAGGUUUUCAUAAAUGAAGGAAAGUGAAUCUUGGUGUGGCACAGCUGGGCCCAGAGGAAGACUGGAGGUUUGCUUCUGCCGCUCAGAACCCUGCUGUUGCUCAGGCUGCUUCGGCUGAGCCGUCCUGGAGGCCAAGCUUCACGCCAGACCAGACAAGUUCAGGGUCCAAUCGCUACUGGCUAUGCAUUUCCGACCCCGCACCCCUACUGUAUACACAGCUUUCAGCUUGUUCUCAAAAUGACUCUGGAAGGCGAUGGUAGCAUCAGCCCCAUUUCACAGCUGAGAAAAUCCAGGCUUGAGAGCAAGCAGAAGCCAAAGCCAGGGAAGAUGGGAGGACUAAGGUCCCCCCUGCCGACCCCAAGCUCUUCAGUCAGAAGCAGCCCACCCCACACAAGAGCUGGGGCAGGGCCAGGCCCGGAAGAGAAGUGGCUCAGAAGGUCGCACUUACUGGACAGCGACACUGGCCAGUCCCUCCCUUCCCGCAGUGCAUGCCCCGCCCCGCCUCGCCCACCCUGGAGGGGCUGUCUGCUAGGUGCUGGCGCUGUUGCAGGGCGCAGGUUUGCACUCCCUCCAUGCCUUUACCUCGUGCUUCUCAUCACUCUCCCUGCGCAGAUAAAGGCAGGAAAACUCAGGGCUUUGCUCCUUCCUCAGGUCAAGGUUGCCACCAGAGGCUUUUACACCUAGCCCAGGAUUCUUCAUUCCAUUCUGCACUGCACUCCACCAGCAGCGAUGUGAUCCCAAACAAACUCACUCUUAAGGAACAGCCAUCCACUUCCGGUCUCAGGGACAGGGUACAGGGCAGAAGGACCCCAACUGCUUUGAGAGUGCCAUGUCUUGCUCACGGCCUUACCCUCUAGCAAGGGCUUCUCUUCUUCCCUUGCCUCCACCCAACAGGAGUGUGAAGAUUGCUACCUUUCUUCUAUGAAAGCUCUCCCUCACGCAGCAAGAGGACAGCUCAGAACUCACAUCUCUGUCAGUACCGCACUACCAUUUACGAGGGCUUCCUGUGAGCUAAGGAAGUUACACACCAGACCAGUACCUCUCACAACUGAACAGUACUGCUGUUAUUUUUACCUCGAAGAAGAGAAGCCUGAGGUUUCCAGGGUAAAGUCACUGAGUCACUGAGCCCUGGUGGUGGUGAUUUUGACCCAGCUGUGCCUGAACGGCCACGCUGAGGAUCCUAGGGAGACUCAGGAUCCCGUAAAUCCCUCAGGAACCACGCUCCCAGGAGAGGGUGUGACCCAUUCCCAGCUGCUGGUGCAAUGCUGGCCGCAGAACAGCUGCGCCGCUGGCCUGGCCUGGGUGGCACUUGCGGGAUGAGCUGACUCUGUUGGGAAAGUAGCAGGGGGGGAGGCUCUUCUCUGAUCACUUGUUUUUCACGAAACUCUGAGAACAAUCAUUUCUGAAAGACAAAGAAUGGCCUGAGCUGCCAUGAAGCAGAGCCCCGGUCUUGCAUGCCCCUGGAAGGUUUUGUCAGGUAGAACCCUCUGCCCCUCCGAGUGCCGUCCAGGUCCAUGCACACUCCCCUUCCCACCGGCUCUCCUCCCCACCCAUCUCCUGGGCACCGCGUCCUCCCGGCCACCCGGCCACCCGCUGCACAGGGCUUGGCGGCCAGGUGCUCUGGCCAGGCUGUCUUCAGCAGGAGGAGCCCCGCCUUUUCAGACUGGAUGUUUGUGAAGCUGAAUUGACCUGGGGGGUGGGGGCGUUCUACAGAAAACACUGUCUUUCUUCCCGGGUGCCUUUGCUGCUCAUCACAAACAUCUCACAUCAUUUUCUUUUUAAAAAGUCAUUUACUGAGGACUCCAAAUGCAAACUGUUGAGACGCUGCACUCCCGGCAUACUUUGGGAGCCACUGCUAGGUUGACGCCCUGCACUAAGGUCUCCAGCCGCCCUGCCACCCCUCCUCCGGUCCUAACUCAACAUUUGGAUCUCCUUAGACACAUGCUCCCUUGCUAGAUAAUACUGAUACCUUGUUUUAUAUGAACAUUUAUACACCCGGACCCUGGCAAGGGCUGACUUCAUUGGGAUGCUUUAUGGCUUAAUCCUUCAGAAUGAUUUAUACCUCGCUUUGUCUAAGCCUCUAUGCUAAUAAAUUUAACAGAUUCCCCCGGACUGUCUGCUUCUUCGUUGCUUCAGGGAGUCAAAGUGAGAGGAAAAUAAAGGAGCAAGUUGCUAAAGAAAGAAGGAAGAAAUUGGUCCAACGGAUUUGGAACACAAACAAAAUCUUUGAUUACAGCUAAGAUGAAGUAGCAGUCGAGGGGGUAGGGAGAGAAGUCCCCAGAUCCAGGUAGAUUCCUGUAAUUAAUCUAGUUCUCGGAGGGGAAGUCACAAAAGUGACAAAAUAUUUAGCAAGCUAUUUACUAGAGAAUAUUUUGGUCCUAUAUAAUUAAAUCCAAGGCUAAAGGGAAGCUGACAACUAUUAAACAAAGUGCAGUUGGGAAUGGGGAGAAGAUAAAACCUAGUCUAUAAAAUAUACUCCAUUAUCUUUUAUAGGUUAAAAACACAAAAGAAACGCUUGGGAAGAAUUUUCUAAGACGGAAAGAUGUGAAGAUUGCGUGCAGAUUUUUUUUUACAGGUGCAGAAUAAAUUGUGUUUUUUUCCUAUUUUUUUUCUUUUGCCCAUUUUCCCCGUUGUUUGCAAAGUUGAAUCUGGGGUCAGGAGUUCUAAUUGUAACCUCAGACUGGAAUUCCAGAUGGUGUGCGCAGGACUGGAAGCGAGCUCUCAGUUCAUCAAUUUCAUGGGCCUACGUAUUUGCUCGGGCCACGGCCUGGCCUCCAUCCCCGCUGUGGCAUUAAUGCAGAACAAAUUGAGACAUAUCCUCUAUAUAAUUAGUUCCAGAAUUUAAAAAGAUUUACGGUAUAAUAAUAGAAGCAGCGCUGCGGAAUCCUUUCAGUGGGGACUGGCUUGCAGUGGCUUGGGACAGAGCAGCCGGCGGCUGGGGAGAGCGCUCUGCCCGAAGCUCUGCUCCGCUCCUCCCCUGCAGGGCGCCGGGUGGGAGACUGGUGCAGAAGAUGGAGAAGACUCACAAACCCAGAGGGGAAGCUGGGGAAGGGGCUGCCCGGAAACCUCCACCUUGUUUGUUUUAAAAACUGGCUUCAAGAUUCUGAUGCCGGGCUGUAACCUGCACGGGCUGGGAGAUUCCUGCGCCCCGGUGUGGUACGGGUGCUGCCGGAGCAGGGGCCUGGGGCACAGCCAGGGUCAGUCACCCGGUGCCCCAGCAGGCACAGCCAGCCUGGCCUGGGGGUCGCAGUGGGGGGUGGGGAGGAGCGGGGCGCAGACCUGGGGCCGGAUGCAGUGGACCUGGGGUGGAAGUGGGGCGAGGUCCUCACCGCCUGAACCACACCCACAUUCCCCAGUGUGGGGAGUCUCUUGGGUGCCCAUGUGCCCUGCUCCCCUUCCUGUUCCCUGAGCUCUGGAGCGGCCGAGUGGUGGCUAAAGCCACUGCUGGACCAGGUGGGGUCACAGCUUGGCUGCGGUGACUUCGCUAUCCCACCCGGAGAGUGGACAAACUUGAAAAUCGUGAUUUACGGAGAGUUCUGGGCCAACACCUGCUCCCCAGUGCGCAGGGCAGCACCAUGAGACUCCAGCGCGCUUCGCCCAGAGAGGAAGGAAGGAGCAAAGCUGAGCUGAGAGCGGCGGGAAGGUGGAUAGAGGGACGCGCGCGGCUCCCUCCCGCCGCCAGCCUUGGCCCGCGGGGUCUUCUGCGCCUCUAAGCACGCCCUAAACCUUGGAGGGCUUCACCUGCGGCCUGAGCGCCCGGAGCCCAGCGCCGAGCGCCUCCCGCCCGCAGCCAGAAUCUAACAGCGACAGCGUAGACAGCACGCCAGUGAAAACCAAAGCGGUAAAUCCAGGCCACGGAGACGCUGUUCCGGGUUCCGCGCAGUGGGCUUGGCGGAGACCCGCGCGCCCCUCCCGCUAGGCCGGUGCGGAGGCCCGAGCCCCGCGAUUCCCGCCCGCGACUGGCCGUCCCAGGCCGCGCCGUCGCCGACGCCUCUGGAGCUCCGGGGCGUUUCCACGCGCCGCAGACGCACGUCACAGAAACUAAAGCCCAAAGUAAAACCAGCCCCAACCCCUUCCCUGAGGCGCGGGGCGCCGGGUUCUCCUAGCAGGGUUCCGAGCACGCGCGCGCGGCCUCUGCCGCCGGGCCAAGAGCUAGGUCCCGCUUCUCGGUCGCCAGACUAGCAGGAGCCUCCAGGUCGGGCACUGGGCCUCAGUACUGAACCCUGGGCGUGAGCGGAGGGCCGGGCGCCCUUUCUCCCCGGGCUGUGCGCCGAACCUCCUGUUUCCUCUCCUCCCCAACAGGGUGUGGGUGCUGCAGCCCGCACGCACGCAGGCCCAGGGCGGACCCCGGGUUCCCGCUCCCCGAGCCAUUUCCCGGCUUGGCCGUAGCAUAGAUGCACCUCACUCGGGAGGAAGCUAAGUCCCUCAGACUCCGAUUUCAGGUAGGCGGCCACCGGCCUCCUCACCCGGUAACCAGCUACCAGGCGAUCGGUAACGCCCUGCAGGUCUCCCACCCGGGGCGUCUUUGCCUCGGAUCACGACCUCUGGGGCUGACCCCUCCCCAGGGACGUCGAGAUGAAGGCACGGCGGCGCGGAGGCCUCCGAGCUCCGAAAGUGCUUGGACCCCUCCUAAGUUCCGCCCUGGGGGCCCCUCCCCUCCCUCAGCCCCCACCCCCAC
RNAcentral lists this long non-coding RNA (14071 nucleotides) under Heterocephalus glaber (naked mole-rat). Its description in RNAcentral is "lncRNA (ENSHGLG00100048611.1)". Lineage: Eukaryota; Metazoa; Chordata; Mammalia; Rodentia; Bathyergidae. The record is from RNAcentral.